This 496-nucleotide ribosomal RNA is filed under the name uncultured bacterium. RNAcentral describes it as "partial 16S ribosomal RNA". It matches the Rfam family "Bacterial small subunit ribosomal RNA", at positions 28 to 506 of the family's 1533-position model. The record is from RNAcentral.
GACGAACGCUGGCGGCGUGCCUAAUACAUGCAAGUAGAACGCUGAAGCGAGGAGCUUGCUCUUCUUGGAUGAGUUGCGAACGGGUGAGUAACGCGUAGGUAACCUGCCUUGUAGCGGGGGAUAACUAUUGGAAACGAUAGCUAAUACCGCAUAACAAUAGGUGACACAUGUCAUUUAUUUGAAAGGGGCAAUUGCUCCACUACAAGAUGGACCUGCGUUGUAUUAGCUAGUAGGUGAGGUAACGGCUCACCUAGGCGACGAUACAUAGCCGACCUGAGAGGGUGAUCGGCCACACUGGGACUGAGACACGGCCCAGACUCCUACGGGAGGCAGCAGUAGGGAAUCUUCGGCAAUGGGGGCAACCCUGACCGAGCAACGCCGCGUGAGUGAAGAAGGUUUUCGGAUCGUAAAGCUCUGUUGUAAGUCAAGAACGAGUGUGAGAGUGGAAAGUUCACACUGUGACGGUAGCGUACCAGAAAGGGACGGCUAACUACGU